This 423-nucleotide ribosomal RNA is filed under the name uncultured bacterium. RNAcentral's name for it is "bacterial SSU rRNA". It matches the Rfam family "Bacterial small subunit ribosomal RNA", at positions 207 to 622 of the family's 1533-position model. The record is from RNAcentral.
AAGACCUUGCGCUUUUAGAGCGGCCGAUGCCUGAUUAGCUUGUUGGUGAGGUAAAAGCUCACCAAGGCUUCGAUCAGUAGCUGGUCUGAGAGGACGACCAGCCACACUGAGACUGAGACACGGCCCAGACUCCUACGGGAGGCAGCAGUGGGGAAUUUUGGACAAUGGGGGCAACCCUGAUCCAGCCAUGCCGCGUGAGUGAAGAAGGCCUUCGGGUUGUAAAGCUCUUUCAGCCGGAACGAAACGGUUACGGUUAAUACCCGUGACUACUGACGGUACCGGAAGAAGAAGCACCGGCUAACUACGUGCCAGCAGCCGCGGUAAUACGUAGGGUGCGAGCGUUAAUCGGAAUUACUGGGCGUAAAGCGUGCGCAGGUGGUUUUGUAAGUCAGAUGUGAAAUCCCCGGGCUUAACCUGGGAACU